AACGCUAGCUACAGGCUUAACACAUGCAAGUCGAGGGGCAGCAUAGAAGUAGCAAUACUUUGGUGGCGACCGGCGCACGGGUGAGUAACGCGUAUGCAACCUACCUAUCAGAGGGGAAUAACCCGGCGAAAGUCGGACUAAUACCGCAUAAAACAGGGGCACCGCAUGGUGAUAUUUGUUAAAGAAAUUCGCUGAUAGAUGGGCAUGCGUUCCAUUAGGUAGUUGGUGAGGUAACGGCUCACCAAGCCGACGAUGGAUAGGGGAACUGAGAGGUUGGUCCCCCACACUGGUACUGAGACACGGACCAGACUCCUACGGGAGGCAGCAGUGAGGAAUAUUGGUCAAUGGGCGAGAGCCUGAACCAGCCAAGUAGCGUGCAGGAAGACGGCCCUAUGGGUCGUAAACUGCUUUUAUAAGGGAAUAAAGUGAGUCUCGUGAGACUUUUUGCAUGUACCUUAUGAAUAAGGACCGGCUAAUUCCGUGCCAGCAGCCGCGGUAAUACGGAAGGUCCGGGCGUUAUCCGGAUUUAUUGGGUUUAAAGGGAGCGUAGGCCGGAGAUUAAGCGUGUUGUGAAAUGUAGAUGCUCAACAUCUGAACUGCAGCGCGAACUGGUUUCCUUGAGUACGCACAAAGUGGGCGGAAUUCGUGGUGUAGCGGUGAAAUGCUUAGAUAUCACGAAGAACUCCGAUUG
Molecule: ribosomal RNA, 691 nt
Filed under: uncultured bacterium
Lineage: Bacteria
Description: bacterial SSU rRNA
Rfam family: Bacterial small subunit ribosomal RNA
Source: RNAcentral